This 401-nucleotide ribosomal RNA is filed under the name uncultured bacterium. Its description in RNAcentral is "bacterial SSU rRNA". It matches the Rfam family "Bacterial small subunit ribosomal RNA", at positions 354 to 773 of the family's 1533-position model. The record is from RNAcentral.
GUGGGGAAUAUUGCACAAUGGGCGAAAGCCUGAUGCAGCAACGCCGCGUGAGCGAUGAAGGCCUUCGGGUCGUAAGGCUCUGUCCUCAAGGAAGAUAAUGACGGUACUUGAGGAGGAAGCCCCGGCUAACUACGUGCCAGCAGCCGCGGUAAUACGUAGGGGGCUAGCGUUAUCCGGAAUUACUGGGCGUAAAGGGUGCGUAGGUGGUUUCUUAAGUCAGAGGUGAAAGGCUACGGCUCAACCGUAGUAAGCCUUUGAAACUGGGAAACUUGAGUGCAGGAGAGGAGAGUGGAAUUCCUAGUGUAGCGGUGAAAUGCGUAGAUAUUAGGAGGAACACCAGUUGCGAAGGCGGCUCUCUGGACUGUAACUGACACUGAGGCACGAAAGCGUGGGGAGCAAAC